Molecule: ribosomal RNA, 458 nt
Filed under: uncultured bacterium
Lineage: Bacteria
Description: bacterial SSU rRNA
Rfam family: Bacterial small subunit ribosomal RNA
Source: RNAcentral
UACGGGAGGCAGCAGUGGGGAAUAUUGCACAAUGGGCGAAAGCCUGAUGCAGCUAUGCCGCGUGUAUGAAGAAGGCCUUAGGGUUGUAAAGUACUUUCAUCGGGGAGGAAAAAACAAAACUAAUAAUUUUAUUUCUUGACGUUACCCGAAAAAGAAGCACCGGCUAACUCCGUGCCAGCAGCCGCGGUAAUACGGAGGGUGCUAGCGUUAAUCAGAAUUACUGGGCGUAAAGAGCACGUAGGUGGUUUUUUUAAAGUCAGAUGUGAAAUCCCUGGGCUUAACCUAGGAACUGCAUUUUGAAACUGAAAUACUAGAGUAUCGUAGAGGGAGGUAGAAUUCUAGGUGUAGCGGUGAAAUGCGUAGAUAUCUGGAGGAAUACCUGUGGCGAAAGCGGCCUCCUAAACGAAUACUGACACUGAGGUGCGAAAGCGUGGGGAGCGAAACAGGGAUUAGAUACC